Molecule: ribosomal RNA, 497 nt
Filed under: uncultured bacterium
Lineage: Bacteria
Description: partial 16S ribosomal RNA
Rfam family: Bacterial small subunit ribosomal RNA
Source: RNAcentral
GAUGAACGCUGGCGGCGUGCCUAAUACAUGCAAGUCGAGCGAACAGACGAGGAGCUUGCUCCUCUGACGUUAGCGGCGGACGGGUGAGUAACACGUGGAUAACCUACCUAUAAGACUGGGAUAACUUCGGGAAACCGGAGCUAAUACCGGAUAAUAUAUUGAACCGCAUGGUUCAAUAGUGAAAGACGGUUUUGCUGUCACUUAUAGAUGGAUCCGCGCCGCAUUAGCUAGUUGGUAAGGUAACGGCUUACCAAGGCGACGAUGCGUAGCCGACCUGAGAGGGUGAUCGGCCACUCUGGAACUGAGACACGGUCCAGACUCCUACGGGAGGCAGCAGUAGGGAAUCUUCCGCAAUGGGCGAAAGCCUGACGGAGCAACGCCGCGUGAGUGAUGAAGGUCUUCGGAUCGUAUAACUCUGUUAUUAGGGAAGAACAAAUGUGUAAGUAACUAUGCACGUCUUGACGGUACCUAAUCAGAAAGCCACGGCUAACUACGUG